RNAcentral lists this long non-coding RNA (2716 nucleotides) under Homo sapiens (human). RNAcentral describes it as "HSALNT0184694". The record is from RNAcentral. Lineage: Eukaryota; Metazoa; Chordata; Mammalia; Primates; Hominidae.
UUUGUGUGCACUGAGCUGGCUGAUAUGUUCCUGGGAGGUGGGACAGGAGGCCCUUCCUGGCCACUGUCCUUAGAGAAUACAGCAGAAAAGGAGCUGGCUGGGGCCCAGCAGGAUUUCCUCUGCAGUGUAGACAUAUCUGGCAAGGGAGUUAAGGAGGUCACCACAGGUGGGACCCUUCUUCUAUGUCCUAUCUUAACCUACGCAGUGCCAGAGUCCACGGGGAUAAUUAAGAUUUUGCACUGACAACCUGGAGGAACGGUAAUUAGGGAUUGUAGCCUGGGCAAUGCUCCAGGUAUUGUUUAACUCAGGAGUAGAGUAAGAAAGGAAAGAGAUGAAUAGAUAUGUGGAAUUCUUUCCUCAUUAUUCUUGGCUCCAAGGAAAGAUCUGAUUUUGACCGUCAGGGCCAAGGUAUGCAUUCUGAUGGAUAAUUACCUUUCUUUCUCUUUGUGAAAUUAAAAUUAAACCUACACAGCCUCAGCGACAGCAUGAUGGGUUACAAGGCAUUUGUGAGCUGUUAACCAGAGCACUGUCACCAAUAAAGCUACAAAUGGAAAAGGCUGGGAGGUGCAAGGGCUGGCUUCCCACUUUGAAGACCUCAGCUUCUCUGGAAGCCCUUCCCACAGAGCGAGUGUGUCAUGAAUGCAAGUACUUACGUUGCUGAUAACAGAGAACUUGCCAAUUCCAGAGAGAAUGUCAAACCAGAUUCCUACAAGACAGAAAAGACAGCGUCUGGCUCACUCCCGCCCUCGGCCCAGUGAUGACAACGCUGAAGCUCCAGGUGAUGUUUUGCAGCAUCCGGCCGUCUCAGCUCUGUAACAAACUUCUUUGCAUCGAGCCGCACUUCAAUGACGUUGUUGAGGAGGGCAAACACAGGUGCCAGGGGAAAGGAGGCCACGAAGAGGGUGACAAAACCAAACUGGAUGACUGCGAGAGAGCACAGCAUGAGGGCUUCAGCAGGAACAAGCAGGACUCAGGUCCCUUCUGGCUUGCAGCUACAGCCCCUUGUCCUUUCUGCCUUGGGUAUCUUUCCCAUAUGGGGUAAUUUUUAGUCUCCCUUUUCCUCCUGUGUCACAUACACGGUAUUUCUUUCUAAGUACCUGCAGGCCUGUUGGUCAAUGCCAUCACUUGGGAGCAAAGCUCUGGAUUAGGCAUGGUGGGGAGAUACAAGAAAAAAAAGUCUUAAUUGCUUCCUUUACCCUUUACUGCCAGUCACUAAUCCUACUGAUCUAACUCAGGGUUUGGUAAACUUUUUUAGUAAAAGGCCAGAUCAUAAUAAACAUUUUUGGAUUUGCAGGCCAUAUGGUUUUGUCACAACGACUCAACUCUGCCAUUAUACAGUAAAAACAGCUAUAGACAGCACAUCAACAAGUGGGCUUGGCUGAGUUCCAAUAAAACUUUAUUUACAAAAGCAAUAUAUAAAGUGACUAGGUUUGGCCCACGGGCCACAGUUUGCCUUCCCUUGAAAUAGCUUUAAAAACCACCUCCCAGAUUUGGACUCUUCUUUCCAUGUCUACAGUCACUGCCUUUGUUUAGAAAGUUUAUUCAUCCAUCACGCAUUUAUGGAGAGCAUUUAUAAAUGUCAGGCCCUGUACCAAGUAUUUAAGAAGGCAAAGGUCUGUUCUGGCCUGCAAGAAGCUGGGUUUGAAAGUGGAGAGUUAAGUGUAGGCAAACAUGUGCAACAAGGUUUUAUGUAUGCCAAGAGAGAAUAAAGAAUGUACUAGUGAUAGAGAAGGCCCAAAUGGAGAGGAACGUACAUUGUUCAGGGCAGGGACUGAAUGGGUCUCCAUGUAGAGUCCCUCAGCACAGUCUGGAAAGAUGGGCAUGCAGUUUUCUUGAGGAUUAAGUCAAAGAGACCUUCUAAGCUAUGGAAGCAGUGUGAGCAAAAGCAUGGUGGCACAGCCCAUGCCCAUGAGACAGCUGGAAAGAGUCCAGCCCUACCUGGACCAUUGCAACAGCCUCCUGACGGGGUUUCUUGUCACCAUUCUCCCAGGAUGCUAGAGUCUAUCCAGCACACAGCCCCUCUCACCUGAUUCUGUUAUCUACCUGCUUAUAAAAAUUCCUGUUGGCUCCACUCUGUUCACUGAAUAUAAUCCAAAGUCCCUACCGGUGCAUACAGGUGCUUUAUAAUCUGCCUCCAAUCUGCCUCCCUAGCUUCAUCUCCUAGCAUCUCCCCAGCAACGACCAUGGUCCUGCCUUCUCACCCUCCUAAUUGUCCCCUGCCACAUUAGUUCUUUCCACUCAUUUGUGCAUAAGCAUACACUCUGGCUGGCAAGCUUCUAUGCAUCCCUGGGAUCACUCAAAUGCCACCUCCUUGGUGAAGCCCCAUCCCUCCUCCUCUGGACCCCACCACCCUGUGUUCAGGCUUCUGUUGCAGCCAUCACUGUGUGCUUCUGUGAUUGACUUGCUCACACAUCUUUAUUUCCCACUGAGAAGGCAAGGCCUCCGUCCCUUCUAGGGGUUCAGUACAUAUUUGCUGAUGGAAACACAACCCAGAGUCCAGGAAAGUUACAAUGUAGUAGGACUCCCCUACAUACUAAGGGCAAAUUAUUAAACUUUCUGUGCUUCAGGUACUUCAACUGUAAAUUGAAGAUAAUAGUAAUACCCACCCAAUAGGGUUCCCAGAAGGGUAAAUGAUAUUACAUACAAAAUAUGUACAAUGUACAUACAAUGUACAAUAUGUACAAUGUUGGAUACAUAAUAACUGUUUAAUAAAUGG